GGACCCUGAAGUCAAGACCUGAGCUGGGAUCCAGUGUCGGUCCCUUAACUGACUGAGCCACCCAGGCGCCCCCCAGAAAUUCUUAAUUUUAAUAGAGUAGAAUCUGUCAGCUUUUGUCUUUAUAGUUUGUGCAAACUUCUUUUCUAUCUGAAGAUCAUAAAGACGUCCAUUUACAUGGUGUUCUAAAUUAUUUACAGUUUUGUAUUUCACAUGUAAGUCUUCAAUCCACCGGGAAUUAAUUUUGUGUAUGUCGAGAUAGGGAUCCGAUUUCAUCUCUCCCCCAUGUGGUUAAUUAGUUGUCCCGGCACCAGUUGGUGAAUCCAUUUAUCCCCCACUAGUCUGCAGUUCCCCCUUCUGUCCGAAAUCAAAUUUCCAUGAGCACUUAUCUUUGGUUCUGGUCUCUAUCCUGAUCCAACACUGUUGUUCCGUGCCCGCAUCAAUACCACACCUUCGAAUUUCCUUACCAGGUGGAGGCAAGUCUCCCACUUUCUUCGGGAGUACCUUGGCUAUUUGCAGCCUCAGCUUUUCCAGAGAAAUGUCAGAAUCAGCUUGCCAAAGCUCACACAAAAUACUCUUGGAAUUCUUACUGGGAUGGCGUUGAAUUUAUAAGGCAAUUUGUGGACAGCUGACAUCUUUCAGUUACUGUCUUUUUAUCCAAGAAUAUAGUCCACUGUCCAUUCAUUUAGAUCUUCUUUAAUCUCUGAUGUCUUUUCAAUAAAGUUCUGUGAUGUUUCCAGCAAAGGGCUUGCACAUCUUUUGUUAGAUUUGUUAUUAAGUCUUCCGUCCUUCCCACCUUCUUGCAUUUUUCUUAAUUUCUGAUAUUGUAAAGCCCUUUUAAAAAAUUGUUGCUGUAUAUAAAAAUGCAGAUAUAUACUUUUAUAUAUUGAUCGUGUAUCCAGGCUUAAAAAAAAACUCUUAUUCUAACAUAAUGUAGCUAUAAGUUAUUUUAAGAUUCUCAUAUAUUCAUAUCAUCAGCAAAGACUGGCAAUUAUUUCUCUCUUCCCAAUCCUCCAAUAUUUUAUUUCUUUUUUCUUGCCUUUCUACCCUGGUUUGGAUCUUCAGCGCAAUGCUAACUUACAGGCAACUUACAAUAGGCAACUUAUGUCCAGUUGGAUUUUAAAGGGAAUUAAAUAUAACAUUGGUUGUACAGUUGUCGUUUUGGGUAUAUAUAGUAUUUGGUCUUUAUUUUGUUGUUAAAAAUACCACAAUUUUAGAGGUUUAGCAAGAAAAAUAUAUUAUCUUACAGUUCUGGAGGCCAAACAUCUGACUCUGUCUCUCACGGGACUAAAAUCAAGGUGUGGACAGGGUUGUGCUUCCUUCUGGAGUCACUAGAGAAGAAUCCAUUUCCUUGACUUUUCCAGCUUCUAGAGGUGCCCGUGUCCCUUGGCUGUGGCUCCGUCCUCCAUCUUCAAAGCCGGUAAUGUUGCAUCUCUGGCCCUUCCAGAGCGACGUCUCCCUGACCAACUCCCUGAAUGUGUGUCCACAUUCAACCAGCCAGAAAAUGUUCUCCACGUUAAAGGAUUGAAUGAUCAGACUGGAUCACCUGGAUAACCCAAGAUCAUGUCCUGAAACCUAAUCAUGUCUUCAGAGUCCCUUUUGCCAUGAAUGGAUGAAAACCAAAAUGCAGGCAAGAGGAGGUAAGAGCAGAGUUUAUUGAAGACGGAGAGAGACUGGAGCGAUACAGAGAAGACCAGCAUGGCCUCUGCACAAGGAUGAUGUGCAAAUUCAUGAAGCGUUCCAUAUU
Herpailurus yagouaroundi (jaguarundi) is the source of this 1744-nucleotide long non-coding RNA. RefSeq lists it as uncharacterized. The record is from RefSeq and is a predicted model, not a curated record. Lineage: Eukaryota; Metazoa; Chordata; Mammalia; Carnivora; Felidae. The transcript has 2 exons.